AAACGCUGGCGGCGUGUCUUAAGCAUGCAAGUCGAGCGGCAGGCGCAGCAAUGCGCUGAGAGCGGCGGACUGGUGAGUAACGCGUGGGUAAUCUACCUUUGGCAUGGGGAUAGCCACUAGAGAUAGUGGGUAAUACCGAAUACGUUCCCUGGGGGGAGGUUUCAGGGAAGAAAGGGUGCUACGGCACCGGCCAAAGAUGAGCUCGCGUCCCAUUAGCUAGUUGGUGAGGUAAUGGCCCACCAAGGCGAUGAUGGGUAGCCGGCCUGAGAGGGUGUACGGCCACACUGGGACUGAGAUACGGCCCAGACUCCUACGGGAGGCAGCAGCUAAGAAUAUUCCGCAAUGGACGAAAGUCUGACGGAGCGACGCCGCGUGGAUGAUGAAGGCCGAAAGGUUGUAAAGUCCUUUUGCUGGGGAAGAAUAAGUGUGGGAGGGAAUGCCCGCAUGAUGACAUGAACCGGCGAAUAAGCCCCGGCCAACUACGUGCCAGCAGCCGCGGUAACACGUAGGGGGCGAGCGUUGUUCGGAAUUACUGGGCGUAAAGGGCAUGUAGGCGGUCUGGUAAGCCUGGCGUGAAAGGCCACAGCUCAACUGUGGGAUUGCGUUGGGAACUGCUGGGCUUGAGUUAUGGAGAGGGAGCUAGAAUUCCUGGUGUAGGGGUGAAAUCUGUAGAUAUC
This 677-nucleotide ribosomal RNA is filed under the name uncultured bacterium. RNAcentral's name for it is "bacterial SSU rRNA". It matches the Rfam family "Bacterial small subunit ribosomal RNA", at positions 31 to 698 of the family's 1533-position model. The record is from RNAcentral.